This 362-nucleotide transfer-messenger RNA is filed under the name Mobilitalea sibirica. Its description in RNAcentral is "Standard tmRNA". It matches the Rfam family "transfer-messenger RNA". Rfam says of the family: Bacterial tmRNA, also known as 10Sa RNA or SsrA, is named for its dual tRNA and mRNA-like properties. Its role is to liberate the mRNA from a stalled ribosome. To accomplish this part of the tmRNA is used as a reading frame that ends in a translation stop signal. The record is from Rfam by way of RNAcentral. Lineage: Bacteria; Bacillati; Bacillota; Clostridia; Lachnospirales; Lachnospiraceae.
GGGGUUGUACUGGUUUCGACGGGGGUUUUGAAUUUGUGGUAGCCAUUCGCAGACUAGGACUGCGUCAUCAACUUAGAAAUAAAAUUAAACGCAGACGAUAAUUUAGCGUACGCUGCCUAGUGGCAGCUGUCGACCUUAAGCAACUCGCAGCUUAAGACCUCGGCAUCAAAUUAGCGAGGCACUUUAUCUUCAAAGCUUUGAGAGGAUAAAAGAUUUAUGAAGCUACUGAAAUCGGAAGCCUGUCUGUCGGCGUCCGAUGGAGGGAACAGCAUGUUUGGGCAUGCAUAAAAGACCGACUGUAAUGGGAGAAACUGCAAUGGAUGGGCUUUCGGACAGGGGUUCAACUCCCCUCAGCUCCAUUA